This 755-nucleotide ribosomal RNA is filed under the name Laburnicola rhizohalophila. Its description in RNAcentral is "Laburnicola sp. ZY-2019a partial large subunit ribosomal RNA". It matches the Rfam family "Eukaryotic large subunit ribosomal RNA", at positions 137 to 910 of the family's 3401-position model. Lineage: Eukaryota; Fungi; Ascomycota; Dothideomycetes; Pleosporales; Didymosphaeriaceae. The record is from RNAcentral.
UCCGAGUUGUAAUUUGCAGAGGGUGCUUUGGCAUAGGCGGCGGUCUAAGUUCCUUGGAACAGGACAUCGCAGAGGGUGAGAAUCCCGUAUGUGGGCGCCUGCCUUUGCCGUGUAAAGCCCCUUCGACGAGUCGAGUUGUUUGGGAAUGCAGCUCUAAAUGGGAGGUAAAUUUCUUCUAAAGCUAAAUACUGGCCAGAGACCGAUAGCGCACAAGUAGAGUGAUCGAAAGAUGAAAAGUACUUUGGAAAGAGAGUCAAAAAGCACGUGAAAUUGUUGAAAGGGAAGCGCUUGCAGCCAGACUUGCCCGUAGUUGCUCACCCAGGCUUUUGCCCGGGGCACUCUUCUGCGGGCAGGCCAGCAUCAGUUUGGGCGGUUGGAUAAAGGCCUCUGUCACGUAUCUCUCUUCGGGGAGACCUUAUAGGGGAGGCGUAAUGCGACCAGCCCGGACUGAGGUCCGCGCAUCUGCUAGGAUGCUGGCGUAAUGGCUGUAAGCGGCCCGUCUUGAAACACGGACCAAGGAGUCUAACAUCUAUGCGAGUGUUUGGGUGUCAAGCCCGGGCGCGCAAUGAAAGUGAACGGAGGUGGGAACCCCUCGGGGUGCACCAUCGACCGAUCCUGAAGUCUUCGGAUGGAUUUGAGUAAGAGCAUAGCUGUUGGGACCCGAAAGAUGGUGAACUAUGCUUGAAUAGGGUGAAGCCAGAGGAAACUCUGGUGGAGGCUCGCAGCGGUUCUGACGUGCAAAUCGAUCGUCAAAU